This 253-nucleotide ribosomal RNA is filed under the name uncultured bacterium. Its description in RNAcentral is "partial 16S ribosomal RNA". It matches the Rfam family "Bacterial small subunit ribosomal RNA", at positions 524 to 776 of the family's 1533-position model. The record is from RNAcentral.
UACAGAGGUCUCAAGCGUUGUUCGGAUUCAUUGGGCGUAAAGGGUGCGUAGGCGGCGCGGUAAGUCGGGUGUGAAAUCUCGGAGCUUAACUCCGAAACUGCAUUCGAUACUGCCGUGCUUGAGGACUGGAGAGGAGACUGGAAUUUACGGUGUAGCGGUGAAAUGCGUAGAUAUCGUAAGGAAGACCAGUGGCGAAGGCGGGUCUCUGGACUAACACUGACGCUCAGGCACGAAAGCGUGGGGAGCAAACAGG